This is a long non-coding RNA of Pygocentrus nattereri (red-bellied piranha), 424 nucleotides long. RefSeq lists it as uncharacterized. Lineage: Eukaryota; Metazoa; Chordata; Actinopteri; Characiformes; Serrasalmidae. The transcript is spliced from 2 exons. The record is from RefSeq and is a predicted model, not a curated record.
GAGAUUGGGUUGAGAAGUACUGGAGCCUUCCUUUAAAACACUGAACCGGUUGAUUUAGAUCAGGGAAAAUGCCGGUGUGGUUCCUGAAGGUAGCUGUAGUUGUACCAGUCCUUGUGGCUGUCGAUGUUGAAAGAGAAGAACGGCCUGUGUACCUACUUUGGCCAUCAGUCAUGUGAGGAGGACCUCUAACCAAUUGGAAUUCUGGAUGGUGUAAAGGGGGAGGAGCCUAAUCCUUAAAAAGUUGUAUUCAAGUUGCCUGAAAGAGAGGAGACUGCCAUCAUAGUUCCUGAGGAGAUGAGUCUGAUGAUUGCAAGUGCAUUCAAAGAGAACUCUAACUUGAAACUUGGUGAAUGACAUGUCAAGAAUCUACUAUUGUUAGCAUAUUUUCAUCAAUACAGUGUCGAUUUUGCAUUUGAGACCUAAA